This 1608-nucleotide long non-coding RNA is filed under the name Solanum tuberosum (potato). RNAcentral's name for it is "long non-coding RNA (STUB_LNC002979)". The record is from RNAcentral. Lineage: Eukaryota; Viridiplantae; Streptophyta; Magnoliopsida; Solanales; Solanaceae.
CCAAAUAAAGCACGGGCGAGGCUAUUGUUCUCCAAGUACUCAUACACCAAUAGAAGUUGAUUUCCUUCAGCACAACAUCCAUAUAGUUUGACAAGAUUUGGGUGGUGUAAACUAGAGAUCAUACCUAUCUCAUUUACAAACUCGCGGUUCCCUUGUUUUGAUUUGGAUGAAAGCUGCUUAACAGCAAUGACUGUACCAUCCAGUAGUGUACCCUGCUUAUUAAUUAAAAACAAAGAAGAAAUAAACAGGUCAUGGCUGUCUAUACAUGCAUAACAUCCACUUCUAGAUGUUGUAGCUAAACGAAAAAGGGUCAAGGUAAAUGGUUGUAGUGUGCCCUGCAGUGGAACAAUAAAAGGAACACCAGGAAUUAACAAGGUUCGACAAACUUUUGUUUUCUUUUGCCUACUCCUCGGACACAACCAACCAAUAUUUAUUUCACUCCAAAAGAGUACAAGUGAAAUACUACAAGAGAGAAAGAAGAUCAAAUGCCUUUGAAGAUGAGAAGGCAAGUGAGAUUAGGAACUACCUAUUUAUAGGAGUGAAUUCUUCCUAUUGAUGUCAUCCAUGACAUCACAAUGUGUCAAAAUGUCAAGAUUUACCUUGUGAAACCAUUUUAUGGUUCACCUAAAUUUCACCUACAAAAGAUGUUAUCUUGACUUUUGAACCAAUGAAGAAUUAUCUUCCUAACUACCAAAUCUUCACAUUAAUUCAUCUUUGAAUCUUGUCAAAUUUAACAUUUGUUGCUUUGAUGUCCCUAUGAACAAUUUUUAAUGACGAUUCCUCGUGUAGAAAAGCUAAGCCUUUUGCUAUCCCAAUGCAGAUUUUUUGCCUUGUUGGCCAGUCUAUUUGGAGACGAUGUUCUUCUGGACCUGCAUUUUAAUGAGAACUAAGAAUCUAUGCAUACCUUCUCUCAUUUUGAACUCUUUCAUGAAUUACGAACAAGCAAUAUUUCUUCUUAUUCCAUUAAGCUUAUUUUCUGUUUGACUUGUAAGUUGUAACUGAAAACAAUGAGCAAGGAUAGUAAAUUACCAAAUAAAGCACGGGCGAGGCUAUUGUUCUCCAAGUACUCAUACACCAAUAGAAGUUGAUUUCCUUCAGCACAACAUCCAUAUAGUUUGACAAGAUUUGGGUGGUGUAAACUAGAGAUCAUACCUAUCUCAUUUACAAACUCGCGGUUCCCUUGUUUUGAUUUGGAUGAAAGCUGCUUAACAGCAAUGACUGUACCAUCCAGUAGUGUACCCUGCUUAUUAAUUAAAAACAAAGAAGAAAUAAACAGGUCACGGCUGUCUAUACAUGCAAAACCUCCACUUCUAGAUGUUGUAGCUAAACGAAAAAGGGUCAAGGUAAAUGGUUGUAGUGUGCCCUGCAGUGGAUGGAGGACCUAUAAUAACAUCAAUUGAACCCAUCGUUUUUAUUUGUACUGUAGUAAUAUGUGAAAAAACAUUAAAAUUAUACUCCAUCCGUUUCAAUUUGUUUGUCUUACUUUCCUUUUUGGUCAGUUUCAAAAGAAUAUCUUCCCUUUUUGGCAACUCUUUAAAAUCUUGGAUUUUCCUCUGCUUGCAUGUGUAUGUAAAUGACUGCAUGGGAUGAGGCAUUGGUAUGUGGAGA